AUUUUAUGAUGAACACCUAUUCAGUUCUGCUUCCGAAAGUGAGCGCAAGUUCCUUGUGGAUAGCUUAUUACCAAAACUCUCAAUUCUGAUUU
RNAcentral lists this small nucleolar RNA (92 nucleotides) under Fomitiporia mediterranea MF3/22. The record is from RNAcentral. Lineage: Eukaryota; Fungi; Basidiomycota; Agaricomycetes; Hymenochaetales; Hymenochaetaceae.